This 899-nucleotide ribosomal RNA is filed under the name uncultured Bacillota bacterium. RNAcentral's name for it is "bacterial SSU rRNA". It matches the Rfam family "Bacterial small subunit ribosomal RNA", at positions 81 to 958 of the family's 1533-position model. The record is from RNAcentral. Lineage: Bacteria; Bacillati; Bacillota.
GGGGGGCAAGUAGAGUGGCGCACGGGUGAGUAACACGUAGGUAAUCUACCUUUGGAUUGGGAAUAACCACCGGAAACGGUGGCUAAUACCGAAUAAUGCAGCGGCACCUAAUGGUGACAGUUGUUAAAGCGGGGGAUCGCAAGACCUCGCGUCUGAAGAGGAGCCUGCGGCAGAUUAGCUAGUUGGUAAGGUAAUGGCUUACCAAGGCUAUGAUCUGUAGCCGGCCUGAGAGGGCGGUCGGCCACACUGACACUGACAUACGGGUCAGACUCCUACGGGAGGCAGCAGUCGGGAAUUUUGGGCAAUGGGCGCAAGCCUGACCCAGCAACGCCGCGUGAAGGAUGAAAUCCCUCGGGAUGUAAACUUCGCAAGAACGGGAAGAAUAAGUAAGGGUUAAUAUCUCUUACGAUGACGGUACUGUUUGUAAGCUCCGGCUAACUCCGUGCCAGCAGCCGCGGUAAUACGGGGGGAGCAAGCGUUGUUCGGAUUUACUGGGCGUAAAGGGCGCGUAGGCGGCCACCGCAAGUCGAUUGUGAAAUCUCCGGGCUUAACCCGGAAAGGUCAACCGAUACUGCGGGGCCAGAGUGCAGAAGGGGCAACUGGAAUUCUCGGUGUAGCGGUGAAAUGCGUAGAUAUCGAGAGGAACACCUGGCGGCGAAGGCGGGUUGCUGGGCUGACACUGACGCUGAUGUGCGAAAGCUAGGGGAGCGAACGGGAUUAGAUACCCCGGUAGUCCUAGCCUUAAACGAUGAAUGCUUGGUGUCUGGGGUUUUAUAGUCCCCGGGUGCCGUCGCUAACGCUUUAAGCAUUCCGCCUGGGGAGUACGGUCGCAAGACUGAAACUCAAAGGAAUUGACGGGGACCGCACAAGCGGUGGAGCAUGUGGUUUAAUUCGACGCA